AACGAACGCUGGCGGCAUGCCUAACACAUGCAAGUCGAACGAGACCUUCGGGUCUAGUGGCGCACGGGUGCGUAACGCGUGGGAACCUGCCUUUAGGUUCGGAAUAACUCAGAGAAAUUUGAGCUAAUACCGGAUAAUGUCUUCGGACCAAAGAUUUAUCGCCUUUAGAUGGGCCCGCGUAAGAUUAGCUAGUUGGUGGGGUAAAGGCCUACCAAGGCGACGAUCUUUAGCUGGUCUGAGAGGAUGAUCAGCCACACUGGGACUGAGACUCGGCCCAGACUCCUACGGGAGGCAGCAGUGGGGAAUAUUGGACAAUGGGCGAAAGCCUGAUCCAGCAAUGCCGCGUGAGUGAUGAAGGCCUUAGGGUUGUAAAGCUCUUUUACCCGAGAUGAUAAUGACAGUAUCGGGAGAAUAAGCUCCGGCUAACUCCGUGCCAGCAGCCGCGGUAAU
This 450-nucleotide ribosomal RNA is filed under the name uncultured bacterium. RNAcentral's name for it is "bacterial SSU rRNA". It matches the Rfam family "Bacterial small subunit ribosomal RNA", at positions 29 to 524 of the family's 1533-position model. The record is from RNAcentral.